AGAGUUUGAUCCUGGCUCAGAUUGAACGCUGGCGGAAUGCUUUACACAUGCAAGUCGAGCGGCAGCGCGGGGGCAACCCUGGCGGCGAGCGGCGAACGGGUGAGUAAUACAUCGGAACAUGUCCAGUUGUGGGGGAUAGCCCGGCGAAAGCCGGAUUAAUACCGCAUGAGCUCGAGAGAGGAAAGCGGGGGACCGUAAGGCCUCGCGCGACUGGGUUGGCCGAUGUCCGAUUAGCUAGUUGGUGGGGUAAAGGCCUACCAAGGCGAUGAUCGGUAGCUGGUCUGAGAGGAUGAUCAGCCACACUGGGACUGAGACACGGCCCAGACUCCUACGGGAGGCAGCAGUGGGGAAUUUUGGACAAUGGGGGAAACCCUGAUCCAGCCAUUCCGCGUGAGUGAAGAAGGCCUUCGGGUUGUAAAGCUCUUUUGUCCGGAGCGAAACGGUUAGCGUGAGUAUCGCUGACUACUGACGGUACCGGAAGAAUAAGCACCGGCUAACUACGUGCCAGCAGCCGCGGUAAUACGUAGGGUGCGAGCGUUAAUCGGAAUUACUGGGCGUAAAGCGUGCGCAGGCGGGCUUUUAAGCCAGACGUGAAAGCCCCGGGCUUAACCUGGGAAUGGCGUUUGGGACCGGAAGUCUGGAGUGCGGCAGAGGAGCCUGGAAUUCCUGGUGUAGCGGUGGAAUGCGCAGAUAUCAGGAGGAACACCGAUGGCGAAGGCAGGUCUCUGGGCAGUUACUGACGCUGAGGAGCGAAAGCAUGGGGAGCGAACAGGAUUAGAUACCCUGGUAGUCCAUGCCGUAAACGUUGGGCACUAGGUGUGUGGCGGGUUCCACUCGUUCUGUGCCGCAGCUAACGCAUUAAGUGCCCCGCCUGGGGAGUACGGCCGCAAGGCUAAAACUCAAAGGAAUUGACGGGGGCCCGCACAAGCGGCGGAGCAUGCGGAUUAAUUCGAUGCAACGCGAAGAACCUUACCAAGGCUUGACAUGUACGAGAAAGCCCCAGAGAUGGGGUUCUCUUUGGACACUCGUACACAGGUGGUGCAUGGUUGUCGUCAGCUCGUGUCGUGAGAUGUUGGGUUAAGUCCCGCAACGAGCGCAACCCUUAUCCUAUGUUGCCAGCGGGUUAUGCCGGGGACUCAUGGGAGACUGCCGGGGUCAACUCGGAGGAAGGUGGGGAUGACGUCAAAUCAUCAUGCCCCUUAUGUCUUGGGCUUCACGCAUGCUACAAUGGCCGGUACAGAGGGCUGCGAUACCGUGAGGUGGAGCGAAUCCCAAAAAGCCGGUCUCAGUUCGGAUCGGGGUCUGCAACUCGACCCCGUGAAGUCGGAGUCGCUAGUAAUCGCAGAUCAGCAACGCUGCGGUGAAUACGUUCCCGGGCCUUGUACACACCGCCCGUCAAGUCACGAAAGUUGGUAACACCCGAAGCUCACGGCCCAACCCCUUGUGGGAGGGAGUGGUCGAAGGUGGGACUGGCGAUUGGGACUAAGUCGUAACAAGGUA
Molecule: ribosomal RNA, 1500 nt
Filed under: metagenome
Description: bacterial SSU rRNA
Rfam family: Bacterial small subunit ribosomal RNA
Source: RNAcentral